RNAcentral lists this ribosomal RNA (219 nucleotides) under uncultured bacterium. RNAcentral describes it as "partial 16S ribosomal RNA". It matches the Rfam family "Bacterial small subunit ribosomal RNA", at positions 116 to 334 of the family's 1533-position model. The record is from RNAcentral.
CGUACGCAACAUACCUCUAUCUGGGGCAUAGCCUUCUGAAAAGAAGAUUAACACCCCAUAAGAUCAUAAAGUGGCAUCAUUUAGUGAUUAAAAAUUUAUUGGAUAGAGAUUGGCGUGCGUCCUAUUAGCUAGUUGGUGCGGGUAAAGGCCCACCAAGGCGACGAUAGGUAGCUGGUGUGAGAGCACGACCAGUCACACGGGCACUGAGACACGGGCCCG